CCUACGGGAGGCAGCAGUGAGGAAUAUUGGUCCAUGGGCGGGAGCCUGAACCAGCCAAGCCGCGUGAGGGACGAAGGUACAGCGUAUCGUACACCUCUUUUGUCAGGGAACAAAGGCGGGGACUAGUCCCCGGAUGAGGGUACCUGAAGAAAAAGCAUCGGCUAACUCCGUGCCAGCAGCCGCGGUAAUACGGAGGAGGCGAGCGUUAUCCGGAUUUAUUGGGGUUAACGGGUCCUCAUGCGGCCUGUUAAGUCAGCGGGAAAAGCCCGGGGCUCAACACCGGCGAGCCGUUUAAACUGGCGGGAGGGAGUUGGGGAGAGGUACGCGGAAUGCGCGGGGUAGCGGUGAAAUGCGUAGAUAGCGGGCAGAACCCCGAUUGCGAAGGCAGCGUACCGGCUCCAAACUGACGCUGAGGCACGAAGGCGGGGGGAUCGAACAGGAGUAGAUACCCGAGUAGUC
Molecule: ribosomal RNA, 459 nt
Filed under: uncultured bacterium
Lineage: Bacteria
Description: partial 16S ribosomal RNA
Rfam family: Bacterial small subunit ribosomal RNA
Source: RNAcentral